Molecule: ribosomal RNA, 450 nt
Filed under: uncultured bacterium
Lineage: Bacteria
Description: partial 16S ribosomal RNA
Rfam family: Bacterial small subunit ribosomal RNA
Source: RNAcentral
GUGGGGAAUAUUGGACAAUGGGCGAAAGCCUGAUCCAGCCAUGCCGCGUGUGUGAAGAAGGUCUUCGGAUUGUAAAGCACUUUAAGUUGGGAGGAAGGGCAGUAAGUUAAUACCUUGCUGUUUUGACGUUACCGACAGAAUAAGCACCGGCUAACUUCGUGCCAGCAGCCGCGGUAAUACGAAGGGUGCAAGCGUUAAUCGGAAUUACUGGGCGUAAAGCGCGCGUAGGUGGUAUUGUAAGUUGGAGGUGAAAUCCCCGGGCUCAACCUGGGAACUGCCUCCAAAACUGCAUGACUAGAGUACGGUAGAGGGUAGUGGAAUUUCCUGUGUAGCGGUGAAAUGCGUAGAUAUAGGAAGGAACACCAGUGGCGAAGGCGACUACCUGGACUGAUACUGACACUGAGGUGCGAAAGCGUGGGGAGCAAACAGGAUUAGAUACCCCAGUAGUCC